GAUAUAAAGAUUAUAGAGGAGCCAUAAUAUCAUCUAUGGUCGCGGGAGGCGGCCCUGAUAACGGAGUUGUGCCCUACGCUCCUCGCCCGCCACACGUCAUAGAAAUAACGGCCACCACAGCUGUUCAUUGUCAAUGUGUGGGGAGGAACUCAACUGCAGAUGCCAGUUUAAACCGAAAAUGCUGGAGUAACUCAGCGGGAAAGGCAGUAUCUAUGGAGGGAAGGAAUGGGUGAAGUUUCGGAUCGAGACCCUUCCCCAGCUUUUUGAGUCUAUGCUCAUAGUCAAUCAAUGUACUGAUGUAAAUAACCACUUUUCUGCGAGGAUUUUUUGCUGCAUACCCUUGUACCUACCAGCCAUGUUGGCAGCAUUGUUAUAAGACUGCCCUCGGAAGAAGAGCUCCAAAUCGCGGCAGGCGCGGAACUCAUUGAGUGAGACUGCUUCAAUCUGGUUGAAGUGCCAUGCAAUUGUUAGAUUUUCUGGAACACUUCAUGAGUCCACUAUAGUUUGCACCCCAUUGGACCUUCUUCUUAUGCAGACUCGGGUUCAAGGUGAUUGUUUUUACUCUGGUUCUGCGGGUUCUGAGGUGAUUGAUUAAAGCCACAUGUAGGAUCCAAAUCUUUGCCACUAGUAGAGAACAAGGUGUUUCAUGAGGUGGACGGUUUAUGGAAGAGGUGUCCUCCCUAUGUCACGUCAUCCAAAAAAGGCUUCCCAAAAGGUUCUAGGUUCCCAGUGCUAUUCGAGAUGCACCUUCUUUAUUUUGAGCAAUAAUGGGCCAAGAAUUUCCUCAAGUAACUUUUUUUAAGGCAGCUUUGAGAGUAUCCUUGAAUUAUUUCCUUGCCUUCCUGGUAAUCUCUUUUUGUGAUAGAUCUUGGAAUAGAUUAUCUAUUACAGGAGUCCAGUCCCAGGUUUGUAAAUAAUGUGGUGUGACCAUUGGAGCCAGCAGGAUGUGAUUAGGUUUGGCCUGGGAAGAAUGCAGGCAUUGCUUCUCUUACCCUACCAGUGAAUGUGGUGGAUUCUAUGGAGAUAACAUUGGUGCUACUUCCCAGUGGAUUACAAUGUCUGCUGUAGUUAGUCUUUGUCCUUGAAAUGUACAGGCAAGUGAGGAUCAUUGGUGUUCAGUAGAUCAUGUGCUCUCUGCUGAUUUAAGAUAUUUUCGUUGGUACACUGGGCAUGGUGAUUAAUUUUGCUCGCGAUGCUUGACUCAUUGAGAGGAGGCCCCUGGAUUACAUUUCUUCCAGGACUUCUUCAUGAAUCUUCUAUUGUCUUAGGUUUGUUGGUAGAAUAUUUCCAUUUUGUUGAUGUGUGAUCCAAGGCCAAUUAUUUUGCCCACUUCAUUGAUUGCAGAGCAACGAGUUGGUGCUUGGCCACUGCCAACAGGCAAACCCCACCUGCACACUGAAAAUUGGGUAACCAUGGCUCUGGAGUGAGACAACAUGGGUUGAACGAUUUCCCAUUCAUCUUGUAGUUUAACUCUAAUCCAGCAGGUAGCAAAGGGUGCAAUAUUGUAGCACAAAAGAUAGUGUAAACAGUUUAAGCAAUCACACAGCAUUGAACCUGUCAUUAACUGGGAUUAGAAUUGUGUUGGAGUCAUGGAUUAGAAUAAUGGUUUGCAAGCCACCAGUUAGCAAAAGUUUAAUGCAGGUGAAUUUCUAAGAGCAGCUAAUAUGGAGCAGCAUUUUCCAAAAUCUCUUCCGAUUUAAAGAAUGAAAGUUUUAUAAAGCCAAUAAAGGACAUGUCUCGUUCUUGCUGCAAUUUUUUUUUCCUAUGUUAUUUGGUGUCAUCAUUUAUUUCCAUAUGGACCAAGGCCCCGUGAUCGAGAUGGAGGAGGGCAAGGGGUGGGAGUUAAUCUUUCUCCACUUAGUUUAAAGAUAGAUGUAUUGGGAGUACAUAAUCAAGGAGGACUUUUGCAAUGAAUUCCCCUGCAAUUAUCACAGCCAGAUUUACCUCUGUUCUUGAAGUUGGUUAUGGCAACAAUGUGUCUCUGAGGCUUCCUCUUACAUUCUCCACUUCCCAAGUGCAGCUGUGAAUUUGUGACCCGUUCCUCUCUGUCAAAUAUGAAAACUCGCGGGUCCGGGGGGAGAGACCGCUUCCUGGAGCUCCCGCAACGCGACUUCUCCAGCCCGUGUCGCGGGGUUGGAACGACCCGGAGCGGGGACGUACAUAGCCCGGCGUGGCUUCAUGGCCGUGGGACAUUCCAGCGCCCGCCGGGGGCUCCAACAUUGUGACUUUUAGACGGGAGCGGGGCCGUAAAUCGCCUGGCACGGCCUAAAAUGGCCGUGGGACUUAUCGCCCACCUGAGGCUUGGACAUCGGGAGAGACAUGGAGAACAGGGGAGAGAAAAGACUUUGCCUUCCAUCACAGUGGGUUCACUGUGAUGGAUGUUUGUGUGAAUUAAAUUGUGUGUAUGUCUAGGAAAUUGUCUUUGUAUGACUGUGGAAACGGAAUUUUGUUUGAGCCUCACUGAGGCUCAAAUUACAAUAAAUAUUGUAUUGUAUAACUUCAGCAGGAUUAAAUGGAAUUCUGAAAUGUUGAUGCAUUUCAGGUGAUAUGUAGACCUUACAAUUUAUCAGACUGGGAUGGCAGCACAACUGGACUAGAUUGUGUGGGAUGGAAUGGAGUCAAGGACACUGGCGUUAAGGACAAAAUAUUGGAUACAAAUCUUUUUGAUGCUUUGAAGAUUCAUGAAUGUUUCCAAAUGUCUGAGAUGUAGGAGGCAUUCAAAUCGGGUUCAGAUUGGCUAUGUAUGAGUUUUAAUUAAAAACCCAAGCAGUUCACUAUUGCAGAUUCUGUACCAGGUCUAAAGGACACAAAGUGCAGGAGUAACUCAGCGGGUCAGGCGUCAUCACUGACGAACAUAGAUAGGCCUAACCUGGCAUUGAUUUAAUGGGCAGUUUCCUCAGAAUAAGUGCUAGAAAAUUUAGCACGGUUGCGGCCGUCAAACAGAGUCCAGCAACAGAUCAAAACUUGGAAAUUGGUGACUGAACCUACCCAGCAGGUUUGGGCGUUUGCAUUCAACAAGGAGUUCUGAACCUGAUGAUGCUUAUAAACUGCAGCCAGCAGUUCCAAGAAAGUUCCUGCCUUGUCCUGGACCUGUUAACGUAAGGUGUUUAGCUUAGUUUGGUUUGGCUGAGAGUAGAGAAACAGGCACUUCACCACACUGAGUCCAGACUGAUUAUCAAUCACACAUUCACACUGGUUCAAUGUUAUCUCAAUUUACCAUCCACUCCCUACACAUUAAGGGCAAGUUUACGGAGUCUAACUAACCCUCAAACCCACACUUCUUUAGGAUGUGGGAAGAAAUCAGUGCACCUGGAGGAAACGCGUAUUCAGAGGGAGACUGUGCAAUCUCCACACAGACAGCACCCGAGGUUGUGGUUGAACCUGGGUCUCCAUCUGCGAAGCAGCAGUUCAACCAGCUGUCCCACUGUGCCACCCUUCAAUAUAUUGA
Molecule: long non-coding RNA, 3448 nt
Organism: Leucoraja erinaceus (little skate)
Lineage: Eukaryota; Metazoa; Chordata; Chondrichthyes; Rajiformes; Rajidae
Exons: 3
Source: RefSeq, a predicted model, not a curated record